RNAcentral lists this ribosomal RNA (531 nucleotides) under uncultured bacterium. RNAcentral's name for it is "bacterial SSU rRNA". It matches the Rfam family "Bacterial small subunit ribosomal RNA", at positions 355 to 901 of the family's 1533-position model. The record is from RNAcentral.
CAAGGAAUAUUGCGCAAUGGACGAAAGUCUGACGCAGCAACACCGCGUGGAGGAUGAAGGCCUUCGGGUUGUAAACUCCUUUUCUGGGGGAAGAGAACGGACGGUACCCCAGGAAUAAGUCUCGGCUAACUACGUGCCAGCAGCCGCGGUAAAACGUAGGAGGCGAACGUUAUCCGGAUUUACUGGGCGUAAAGCGCAUGCAGGCGGUUUCUUAAGUCGGACGUGAAAGCUCCUGGCUCAACUGGGAGAGGUCGUUCGAAACUGAGAAACUUGAGGAUGGUAGAGGAGAGUGGAAUUCCCGGUGUAGUGGUGAAAUGCGUAGAUAUCGGGAGGAACACCAGUGGCGAAGGCGGCUCUCUGGGCCAUUCCUGACGCUAAGAUGCGAAAGCCAGGGGGGAGAACGGGAUUAGAAACCCCGGUAUUCCUGGCCGUAAACGAUGUCAACUAGGUGUAGGGGGUAUCCAACCCCUCUGUGCUGUAGCUAACGCGUUAAGUUGACCGCCUGGGGACUACGGCCGCAAGGCUAAAACU